Molecule: ribosomal RNA, 253 nt
Filed under: uncultured bacterium
Lineage: Bacteria
Description: partial 16S ribosomal RNA
Rfam family: Bacterial small subunit ribosomal RNA
Source: RNAcentral
GACAGAGGGUGCGAACGUUGCUCGGAAUUACUGGGCGUAAAGCGCGUGUAGGCGGCAACGCAAGUCGGGCGUGAAAUCCCACGGCUCAACCGUGGAAGUGCACUCGAAACUGCGUAGCUAGAGUCCUGGAGAGGAAGGUGGAAUGCUUGGUGUAGAGGUGAAAUUCGUAGAUAUCAAGCGGAACACCGGUGGCGAAGGCGGCCUUCUGGACAGUGACUGACGCUGAGACGCGAAAGCGUGGGGAGCAAACAGG